Molecule: ribosomal RNA, 404 nt
Filed under: Actinomycetes bacterium
Lineage: Bacteria; Bacillati; Actinomycetota; Actinomycetes
Description: Actinobacteria bacterium partial 16S ribosomal RNA
Rfam family: Bacterial small subunit ribosomal RNA
Source: RNAcentral
UGGGGAAUAUUGGACAAUGGGCGCAAGCCUGAUCCAGCCAUGCCGCGUGAGUGAUGAAGGCCCCAGGGUUGUAAAGCUCUUUCACCGGUGAAGAUAAUGACGGUAACCGGAGAAGAAGCCCCGGCUAACUUCGUGCCAGCAGCCGCGGUAAUACGAAGGGGGCUAGCGUUGUUCGGAUUUACUGGGCGUAAAGCGCACGUAGGCGGACUUUUAAGUCAGGGGUGAAAUCCCGGGGCUCAACCCCGGAACUGCCUUUGAUACUGGAAGUCUUGAGUAUGGUAGAGGUGAGUGGAAUUCCGGGUGUAGAGGUGAAAUUCGUAGAUAUUCGGAGGAACACCAGUGGCGAGGGCGGCUCACUGGACCAUUACUGGCGCUGAGGUGCGAAAGCGUGGGGAGCAAACAGG